RNAcentral lists this ribosomal RNA (462 nucleotides) under Triticum aestivum (bread wheat). RNAcentral describes it as "partial small subunit ribosomal RNA". Lineage: Eukaryota; Viridiplantae; Streptophyta; Magnoliopsida; Poales; Poaceae. The record is from RNAcentral.
AUGGGUUGCCAAGACCCUUUCGCCAUCCCGUUGGCCACUGCUGCCAGCUUAUCCCCGCCAGAAACCAACCCUGCGCCGUCGCUUGCAUCGAAAAAGAGGUUGGGGGAUCUUCACCGGUCGGAAGCAUCGGCUCCAACCGCGAAAGUCCGCCGGGGUGGCCACUGCCUAUCCAACGACUGUCGAUUGCCCUCCCCCGCUUCCGCCGAUGGCAAGAGAGCUAGGAAACCUACGGCCGCGGCGUCGGCUCUCGCCGAGGGGGCCGCGAAGAAGAAGAAAAAGUUGGGGGCAGAUGGUUCUUUUUUGCGUGAGACAAGGGAAGUGGGUUUUCUUUGUGCGUGUGGGGAGGCGGGGGGAUGGUUUUUCCUAGGGAGGAUCAAAUGGAGGGGAGCAGGAUGUACUAAGCGCAGUCCCCAGCUUUCCUUUAACGGUAGAGACACGGUUAAAAAAACUUACUACUAUUAA